CAUUAUAGUGGCUGAAAUUUUAAGCAUUGGUCUCUUAAACCAAAUUAUAGUAAUUUAAAACUACUCUUAAUGA
This 73-nucleotide transfer RNA is filed under the name Eysarcoris gibbosus. RNAcentral's name for it is "tRNA-Lys". It matches the Rfam family "tRNA". Rfam says of the family: Transfer RNA (tRNA) molecules are approximately 80 nucleotides in length. Their secondary structure includes four short double-helical elements and three loops (D, anti-codon, and T loops). Lineage: Eukaryota; Metazoa; Arthropoda; Insecta; Hemiptera; Pentatomidae. The record is from RNAcentral.